CAUUCAGUUGGGCACUCUAAGGUGACUGCCGGUGACAAACCGGAGGAAGGUGGGGAUGACGUCAAAUCAUCAUGCCCCUUAUGACCUGGGCUACACACGUGCUACAAUGGACAGAACAAAGGGCUGCAAGACCGCAAGGUUUAGCCAAUCCCAUAAAUCUGUUCUCAGUUCGGAUCGCAGUCUGCAACUCGACUGCGUGAAGCUGGAAUCGCUAGUAAUCGCGGAUCAGCAUGCCGCGGUGAAUACGUUCCCGGGCCUUGUACACACCGCCCGUCACACCACGAGAGUUUGCAACACCCGAAGUCGGUGAGGUAACCUUUAUGGAGCCAGCCGCCGAAGGUGGGGCAGAUGAUUGGGGUGAAGUCGUAACAAGGUAGCCGUAUCGGAAGGUGCGGCUGGAUCACCUCCUUUCUA
This 414-nucleotide ribosomal RNA is filed under the name Bacillus safensis. RNAcentral describes it as "bacterial SSU rRNA". It matches the Rfam family "Bacterial small subunit ribosomal RNA", at positions 1122 to 1533 of the family's 1533-position model. Lineage: Bacteria; Bacillati; Bacillota; Bacilli; Caryophanales; Bacillaceae. The record is from RNAcentral.